This 210-nucleotide long non-coding RNA is filed under the name Lathyrus oleraceus (garden pea). RNAcentral describes it as "Pisum sativum (pea) long non-coding RNA (PSAT_LNC007187)". Lineage: Eukaryota; Viridiplantae; Streptophyta; Magnoliopsida; Fabales; Fabaceae. The record is from RNAcentral.
AAAGGUCGAGCAUCCGAUAGAUUGCGUAGUAACGUCGUUCAUCUAAAAAAACACAAAACAAACAAAAAUAGGUAGUCGAACUACGUUUUGCUCUGAUUUUCAUCCCAGAUGAGAUACGUAGGUAUAAGACGCGAUGUCUUAGCGAGCACACUCCUCUUUAACCCAUAGGUAUCCGAGCUACGAAGGCUCUGAUUCUCAGAUUCAGAUGAG